This 450-nucleotide ribosomal RNA is filed under the name uncultured bacterium. RNAcentral's name for it is "partial 16S ribosomal RNA". It matches the Rfam family "Bacterial small subunit ribosomal RNA", at positions 354 to 796 of the family's 1533-position model. The record is from RNAcentral.
GUGGGGAAUAUUGGACAAUGGGCGAAAGCCUGAUCCAGCCAUGCCGCGUGUGUGAAGAAGGUCUUCGGAUUGUAAAGCACUUUAAGUUGGGAGGAAGGGUAGUAACCUAAUACGUUGCUACUUUGACGUUACCGACAGAAUAAGCACCGGCUAACUUCGUGCCAGCAGCCGCGGUAAUACGAAGGGUGCAAGCGGUAAUCGGAAUUACUGGGCGUAAAGCGCGCGUAGGUGGUUCAGUAAGUUGGAAGUGAAAUCCCCGGGCUCAACCUGGGAACUGCUUUCAAAACUGCUGAGCUAGAGUACGGUAGAGGGUGGUGGAAUUUCCUGUGUAGCGGUGAAAUGCGUAGAUAUAGGAAGGAACACCAGUGGCGAAGGCGACCACCUGGACUGAUACUGACACUGAGGUGCGAAAGCGUGGGGAGCAAACAGGAUUAGAAACCCCAGUAGUCC